This is a long non-coding RNA of Oncorhynchus tshawytscha (Chinook salmon), 1010 nucleotides long. Lineage: Eukaryota; Metazoa; Chordata; Actinopteri; Salmoniformes; Salmonidae. The record is from Ensembl.
GGUGGAAUUUCUGAAAGCGUAUAUCGUGGUAGAAAGGACAAUAGAGGAUAAAAUGAAUUGAGUUCUCUCUUCGAGGUCACAUAGUGUUUCCGCUUCCAUUUCACCACAAACCGACCUGUUUCAAUACACAGAGACAAUAUCCCUGAUCUUACCUGUUUCAAUACGCAGAGACAAUAUCCCUGAUCUUACCUGUUUCAAUACUCAGAGGCAAUAUCUCUGAUCUUACCUGUUUCGAUACACAGAGGCAAUUUCCCUGAUCUUACCUGUUUCAAUACGCAGAGGCAAUUUCCCUGAUCUAACCUGUUUCAAUACACAGGCAAUUUCCCUGAUCUUGCCUGUUUCAAUACACCAAAGCAAUUUCCCUGAUCUUACCUGUUUCAAUACACAGAAGGAAUUUCCCUGAUCUUACUUGUUUCAAUACGCAGAGGCAAUAUCCCUGAUCUUACAUGUGCACAUAGCGAUCACUUGCUUUUUUGUAGGUUGUACAUAAUAUAUAUAUCUCACACACAAAGUCAGCCUUAAUCAAACAAAAGGUUCUCAAUUUGGGUUUAUGAUUAAUCUCCACCCAUUUGUUUUAAUAUUGCAUUGUCAGUUGUUUUUUAAUCGCAUCUAUGUCUCCUUUAAUUUGGUUUUCGUUCAAAUGUUCACAGACAGGGCACAAUGGUGUCAAGUCAAGUUACCAAUCGUUUUUCCACCAUUCAUUUUUCCCAUAGUGGAUUUAGAAAAACUUAAAAUAAGAGCUGUGUUUCAUGUAGGCUCACCCUGGCAUGAUGUUUUGAUAACCAUGUAAAUCUCUAGGACAAGGAUACUUUUAUCAAUAUAUUUUCCGGUAUUUACCCCCCAAAAGUGAAAUGCUAAUUAGCUGCUAAUGUGGCUAUCCUAAAAAAACUACAAUUGCCCUGAUGAUCUGGACGAGCCUGCCGAAUUGAGGCAAAGGUAACCAUGUCUAGAUUAACUAUCUAAUGUUAGCUACAUUUUCUAAUUAAUAAAUUGUCUAAAUUUCUGUAAAU